This 181-nucleotide ribosomal RNA is filed under the name Klebsiella pneumoniae. Its description in RNAcentral is "partial 16S ribosomal RNA". It matches the Rfam family "Bacterial small subunit ribosomal RNA", at positions 1 to 177 of the family's 1533-position model. The record is from RNAcentral. Lineage: Bacteria; Pseudomonadati; Pseudomonadota; Gammaproteobacteria; Enterobacterales; Enterobacteriaceae. RNAcentral also lists the same sequence under 2 other names.
AAAUUGAAGAGUUUGAUCAUGGCUCAGAUUGAACGCUGGCGGCAGGCCUAACACAUGCAAGUCGAGCGGUAGCACAGAGAGCUUGCUCUCGGGUGACGAGCGGCGGACGGGUGAGUAAUGUCUGGGAAACUGCCUGAUGGAGGGGGAUAACUACUGGAAACGGUAGCUAAUACCGCAUAAU